AGUGAACGCUGGCGAUAGGCCUAACACAUGCAAGUCGAACGGCAGCACAGUAAGAGCUUGCUCUUACGGGUGGCGAGUGGCGGACGGGUGAGGAAUACAUCGGAAUCUACUUUUUCGUGGGGGAUAACGUAGGGAAACUUACGCUAAUACCGCAUACGACCUACGGGUGAAAGCAGGGGAUCUUCGGACCUUGCGCGAUUGAAUGAGCCGAUGUCGGAUUAGCUAGUUGGCGGGGUAAAGGCCCACCAAGGCGACGAUCCGUAGCUGGUCUGAGAGGAUGAUCAGCCACAAUGGAACUGAGACACGGUCCAGACUCCUAAGGGAGGCAGCAGUGGGGAAUAUUGGACAAUGGGCGCAAGCCUGAUCCAGCCAUACCGCGUGGGUGAAGAAGGCCUUCGGGUUGUAAAGCCCUUUUGUUGGGAAAGAAAAGCAGCAGGUUAAUACCCCGCUGUUCUGACGGUACCCAAAGAAUAAGCACCGGCUAACUUCGUG
This 492-nucleotide ribosomal RNA is filed under the name uncultured bacterium. RNAcentral describes it as "partial 16S ribosomal RNA". It matches the Rfam family "Bacterial small subunit ribosomal RNA", at positions 29 to 507 of the family's 1533-position model. The record is from RNAcentral.